GAGUUUGAUCAUGGCUCAGAUUGAACGCUGGCGGCAGGCCUAACACAUGCAAGUCGAGCGGUUGAGGUAGCUUGCUACCGAUGCAGCGGCGGACGGGUGAGUAAUACAUGGGAAUCUGCCUGGUAGUGGGGGACAACGUUUCGAAAGGAACGCUAAUACCGCAUACGCCCUACGGGGGAAAGGGGGGAGUCUUCGGACCUCUCGCUAUCAGAUGAGCCCAUGUCGGAUUAGCUAGUUGGUGGGGUAAAGGCCUACCAAGGCGACGAUCCGUAACUGGUCUGAGAGGAUGAUCAGUCACACUGGAACUGAGACACGGUCCAGACUCCUACGGGAGGCAGCAGUGGGGAAUAUUGGACAAUGGGCGCAAGCCUGAUCCAGCCAUGCCGCGUGUGUGAAGAAGGCC
Molecule: ribosomal RNA, 403 nt
Filed under: uncultured Gammaproteobacteria bacterium
Lineage: Bacteria; Pseudomonadati; Pseudomonadota; Gammaproteobacteria
Description: bacterial SSU rRNA
Rfam family: Bacterial small subunit ribosomal RNA
Source: RNAcentral